UACGAAUGGGGCAAGCGUUGUUCGGAAUCACUGGGCUUAAAGCGUGCGUAGGCGGCCAUGCAAGUCAGGAGUGAAAUCCAGGGGCUCAACCCCUGAACUGCUUUUGAAACUGCAUGGCUAGAAACCGGUAGAGGUCAGGAGAAUUCCUAGUGUAGAGGUGAAAUUCGCAGAUAUUAGGAGGAAUACCAGUGGCGUAGGCGCCUGACUGGGCCGGUAUUGACGCUGAGGUACGAAAGCGUGGGUAGCAAACAGG
Molecule: ribosomal RNA, 253 nt
Filed under: uncultured bacterium
Lineage: Bacteria
Description: partial 16S ribosomal RNA
Rfam family: Bacterial small subunit ribosomal RNA
Source: RNAcentral